Molecule: microRNA precursor, 122 nt
Filed under: Heliconius melpomene (postman butterfly)
Lineage: Eukaryota; Metazoa; Arthropoda; Insecta; Lepidoptera; Nymphalidae
Description: miRNA HMEL009989
Source: RNAcentral
UUUCGAAAAUAAAAAAAGCAAAUACUUAGUUACAACUAAGUAUUUUAAGAAACUUAAAAUAUUAUUGCUUGAGAAUACACGCAUCAUAAUAAGAUUGAUCCCACAAACAUUAUGCUAAGAAG